AGGCGAACCGGGGGAACUGAAACAUCUAAGUACCCCGAGGAAAAGAAAUCAACCGAGAUUCCCCCAGUAGCGGCGAGCGAACGGGGAGCAGCCCAGAGCCUGAAUCAGUGUGUGUGUUAGUGGAAGCGUCUGGAAAGGCGCGCGAUACAGGGUGACAGCCCCGUACACAAAAAUGCACAUAUUGUGAGCUCGAUGAGUAGGGCGGGACACGUGGUAUCCUGUCUGAAUAUGGGGGGACCAUCCUCCAAGGCUAAAUACUCCUGACUGACCGAUAGUGAACCAGUACCGUGAGGGAAAGGCGAAAAGAACCCCGGCGAGGGGAGUGAAAAAGAACCUGAAACCGUGUACGUACAAGCAGUGGGAGCACGCUUAGGCGUGUGACUGCGUACCUUUUGUAUAAUGGGUCAGCGACUUAUAUUCUGUAGCAAGGUUAACCGAAUAGGGGAGCCGAAGGGAAACCGAGUCUUAACUGGGCGUUAAGUUGCAGGGUAUAGACCCGAAACCCGGUGAUCUAGCCAUGGGCAGGUUGAAGGUUGGGUAACACUAACUGGAGGACCGAACCGACUAAUGUUGAAAAAUUAGCGGAUGACUUGUGGCUGGGGGUGAAAGGCCAAUCAAACCGGGAGAUAGCUGGUUCUCCCCGAAAGCUAUUUAGGUAGCGCCUCGUGAAUUCAUCUCCGGGGGUAGAGCACUGUUUCGGCAAGGGGGUCAUCCCGACUUACCAACCCGAUGCAAACUGCGAAUACCGGAGAAUGUUAUCACGGGAGACACACGGCGGGUGCUAACGUCCGUCGUGAAGAGGGAAACAACCCAGACCGCCAGCUAAGGUCCCAAAGUCAUGGUUAAGUGGGAAACGAUGUGGGAAGGCCCAGACAGCCAGGAUGUUGGCUUAGAAGCAGCCAUCAUUUAAAGAAAGCGUAAUAGCUCACUGGUCGAGUCGGCCUGCGCGGAAGAUGUAACGGGGCUAAACCAUGCACCGAAGCUGCGGCAGCGACGCUUAUGCGUUGUUGGGUAGGGGAGCGUUCUGUAAGCCUGUGAAGGUGUGCUGUGAGGCAUGCUGGAGGUAUCAGAAGUGCGAAUGCUGACAUAAGUAACGAUAAAGCGGGUGAAAAGCCCGCUCGCCGGAAGACCAAGGGUUCCUGUCCAACGUUAAUCGGGGCAGGGUGAGUCGACCCCUAAGGCGAGGCCGAAAGGCGUAGUCGAUGGGAAACAGGUUAAUAUUCCUGUACUUGGUGUUACUGCGAAGGGGGGACGGAGAAGGCUAUGUUGGCCGGGCGACGGUUGUCCCGGUUUAAGCGUGUAGGCUGGUUUUCCAGGCAAAUCCGGAAAAUCAAGGCUGAGGCGUGAUGACGAGGCACUACGGUGCUGAAGCAACAAAUGCCCUGCUUCCAGGAAAAGC
Molecule: ribosomal RNA, 1399 nt
Filed under: Escherichia coli
Lineage: Bacteria; Pseudomonadati; Pseudomonadota; Gammaproteobacteria; Enterobacterales; Enterobacteriaceae
Description: partial 23S ribosomal RNA
Rfam family: Bacterial large subunit ribosomal RNA
Source: RNAcentral